RNAcentral lists this long non-coding RNA (604 nucleotides) under Anser brachyrhynchus (Pink-footed goose). Its description in RNAcentral is "lncRNA (ENSABRG00000014533.1)". Lineage: Eukaryota; Metazoa; Chordata; Aves; Anseriformes; Anatidae. The record is from RNAcentral.
CUUAAGUGCAGUGAGGGCAAGGGAAGGGACCUGAAUGUUCCAGUUUCAGACACGAAAAGAAGCACAAGAACGAUGACUUUCUGAUGUUUGUUUUGGCCCUACUUUGCUGCUGAGUUUCUGGGCAUUUGAAUUUAAUCUUUUGCUUUUCCCUCCUAGGUGUGUAGCAGCAUGUCUGCAAUCACAGAUAUUCUAGAAAAGGAAAGAAGAAGAAACAAUACAUAGCUCUGAAUAUUUAUCUCAAGGAAAAAGGCUCGAAGUCUUGCACCCUGCCAUUCCUCCUAUUUCGGGGGCUGACCAUGCUGCCACACAGCUAUGGAAGAGAAAUGUGAGAAUAAGGAUCAGAGAAACAAGAGACAGCAGACACCUUCAGCAAGGUGAAUGUGUUCCUAUUUUUCAGAAGCAGUGCAAAAAAUAAAUAAAGAAAUCCAGAUGCUUCUGGAUGAAAAAGUAACAGCAGCAAGAUACAGCUACCAGAGGCUGGCCGAGUCUGAGUAAGUGCUACCAAAACAUCUGAUGCAUGCUAUGAUGCUAAAACUGGUUGUUGCCCCAAGAAGUUUACAAUCAAGAGGACACCUGCUGUAAUAAAGGAUCAUACUGGCAAACA